This 253-nucleotide ribosomal RNA is filed under the name uncultured bacterium. RNAcentral describes it as "partial 16S ribosomal RNA". It matches the Rfam family "Bacterial small subunit ribosomal RNA", at positions 524 to 776 of the family's 1533-position model. The record is from RNAcentral.
UACGUAGGGGGCAAGCGUUGUCCGGAAUCAUUGGGCGUAAAGAGCGUGUAGGCGGCCUGGUAAGUCCGCUGUGAAAGUCCAGGGCUCAACCCUGGAAUGCCGGUGGAAACUGUCAGGCUCGAGUCCGGAAGAGGCGAGUGGAAUUCCUGGUGUAGCGGUGAAAUGCGCAGAUAUCAGGAGGAACACCAAUGGCGAAGGCGACUACCUGGCCUGUUCUUGACGCUGAGGCGCGAAAGCUAGGGGAGCAAACGGG